This is a long non-coding RNA of Solanum tuberosum (potato), 576 nucleotides long. RefSeq lists it as uncharacterized. The record is from RefSeq and is a predicted model, not a curated record. The transcript is spliced from 2 exons. Lineage: Eukaryota; Viridiplantae; Streptophyta; Magnoliopsida; Solanales; Solanaceae.
GCCCAAAGGAAUGAAACAAAAAACAUGAAAAAAUGUGGGCCAAUCCAAAGGGAAAUGGCAUACUAUAAAAGAGAGUAAGAUUUCCAUUUGCAUCCUCUUUGUCUCCUCCGCCUCUUACACAGUAGCUUUGAGGAACAAAAUGUCCUCAAGUUGUGAAUUAUUUAUGUGUAUCUCCUGACCUCCUUUACUCUGAUAAUUCGAAGCUCGCAGCAUGGUAAACUUCGGUGGUGCAGUGGAUCUGAUGCCAAGUCCUGAGCUAUUGCUUGGAAAAUGUAAGCACAUCUCCAUACUUUUCAUUUUUGCCUUACUCCACACUGAUUUGAGACGGACAUAGAUAUUCCAAGACAACCUCUCCGUAUCUGAUUUGAUCGACUUCGUUUUUGCUGGUGGAGCUUUUUGUAAGCUGACAUAGCUAGGACUAUUGUUUUCUUCACAGUUAUGUAUGCCUGUAUAGUGGAAAAAUUUGAUGUACAUAGCAUAACUGUGUUCCUUGUUAAUCUCUUUUAUCCCUCCCCUGAUGUGUUGCUUGUACUGUUAUCUUCCUUGUUUUAAUCCGUAGUGAUGGAAUUUCUGCUU